RNAcentral lists this ribosomal RNA (255 nucleotides) under uncultured bacterium. RNAcentral describes it as "partial 16S ribosomal RNA". It matches the Rfam family "Bacterial small subunit ribosomal RNA", at positions 524 to 777 of the family's 1533-position model. The record is from RNAcentral.
UACGAAGGGGGCCAGCGUUGCUCGGAAUCACUGGGCGUAAAGGGUGCGUAGGCGGGUCUUUAAGUCGAGGGGUGAAAUCCUGGAGCUCAACUCCAGAACUGCCUUUGAUACUGAAGAUCUUGAGUUCGGGAGAGGUGAGUGGAACUGCGAGUGUAGAGGUGAAAUUCGUAGAUAUUCGCAAGAACACCAGUGGCGAAGGCGGCUCACUGGCCCGAUACUGACGCUGAGGCACGAAAGCGUGGGGAGCAAACAGGG